RNAcentral lists this long non-coding RNA (580 nucleotides) under Homo sapiens (human). RNAcentral's name for it is "non-protein coding DLX6-AS1:7". The stretch from base 1 to 136 matches the Rfam family "Embryonic ventral forebrain-2 long ncRNA". The record is from RNAcentral. Lineage: Eukaryota; Metazoa; Chordata; Mammalia; Primates; Hominidae.
ACACCUGGAUGUGCUCACUCAACCAAGAAUAUAGAGAAAGAGCUUCUGCCCUGAGACUCAGAAAAAUAUUCUCCUGUGCUUUGGUUCAGUAUAGAUUUCUAAACCCUGAUCAUUGCUUAAGAGAUAUUCACUGAGGGUCCUACGUCUCUGCAAUUUGUGUAUGAAUAACAGAAUAAUUUCCCUCUUUUGUUUCGCCUUUCCUGUUCCUGAAUCUAAAUAAAGAUGGCUUUUUAGUAUUAAAAGUGGAAGAAAAUUACAGUUGCUGAGACAAAGGAAAACCCACUCCCUUGGAGGAGCAUGACCUUUUCCUGUAAUUCUUCCCACUGCUGUUGUUGAGCUCCUUGGAUCCUGGCUCCUGGACACCAUCAUCAAGAAGACUUUAUGGAUGGGCUGUCCACCCACUGAGAGAAGAGGAGCAUCAGCUACAGUUUCUCUCUAGAUUGCCUUCUUCAUUUUGAGUAAUGACUGUCAGCAGGGUCAGAUUAAACACAAAACAACUGGACAAUUGCUUGGAGGACUAAACUAUAAGGGCACUAACAUGUCAAUAGUAGGCUAACACAUCCAUGGAAAAUAUAUUUAC